UUCUUACAAAGUAUUAAUGUUAUAAUUAUCUAACAAAACAAGUGCAGUACAAGCAUUGGCAGUGCAAGUUUCUCUAAACUGCCCAGUCAAGUGCCUCAAUCCUAAAUUGGCACAAUUGUCUUGAGGGAUGAGAGGGUAGUUCAUUUUCCAUGACUAGCCAAAUCCCUGGCUUCU
This 174-nucleotide small RNA is filed under the name Chelonoidis abingdonii (Abingdon island giant tortoise). Its description in RNAcentral is "TUC338 (ENSCABG00000016537.1)". The record is from RNAcentral. Lineage: Eukaryota; Metazoa; Chordata; Testudines; Testudinidae.